Molecule: long non-coding RNA, 637 nt
Filed under: Ursus maritimus (polar bear)
Lineage: Eukaryota; Metazoa; Chordata; Mammalia; Carnivora; Ursidae
Description: lncRNA (ENSUMAG00000013131.1)
Source: RNAcentral
GGCCCGCAUCCAUAGCAAACCCUGAAGAGUGAGAAGACUUCUUCUUCCAGUUCUAGAAGGAACCCCCAAGGAAGCAGCUUCCUGCUAGCGGCAAACACUUCUGGGUGGAGGCUGGAGCCGUGUCGAUGCUGACCUACUUGUCAGAGGCGAGGCCGGAACUGCACCUCAAAACUCUCCUUUACACCUUCCUCUCCCUCAGCUUCUGAGGCAGUCAUCCAGGUCUGUAAGGGUUUUGUUUAUUGUUCAUUCAUGCGUUGUUUCCCUUCACAUUCUUUUCUUCUUGGACCUUUCCACAGCGACCCCUCCCUUGAAACAGCCUCCUAAUUGUAUUCCCCACUUUCAAUGCCUCCUCCAGUUUAUCCACCCACAGGUUCAUUUUCCUGUGACAACACUUUGAUCAUAUCGCUGCUGCUAAAACUACAUUGUUGAUAGAUGUCUCAGCUUGGCAUUCAGGGAUCUCCACAAUGAGAAUCUCAAUGAGACUAAGAGGCAAACUGGUGCAGUAAAAAGAACUUGACCCUCAGAUGCAAACUGACAUGAGUUCAAACCCUGAUUUUCCCACAUUCUAAUUGUAUACUUCUGAGGCUCAUUUUUUUGGUCUGAAAAAUGGGGGUAAUAAAAUAUAUCUCCGAGGGCA